This 305-nucleotide ribosomal RNA is filed under the name uncultured bacterium. RNAcentral's name for it is "bacterial SSU rRNA". It matches the Rfam family "Bacterial small subunit ribosomal RNA", at positions 335 to 638 of the family's 1533-position model. The record is from RNAcentral.
UUUCCUACGGGGGGCAGCAGUGAGGAAUAUUGGUCAAUGGUCGGGAGACUGAACCAGCCAAGCCGCGUGAGGGAUGAAGGUACAGAGUAUCGUAAACCUCUUUUGUCAGGGAACAAAGGCGGGGACGUGUCCCCGGAUGAGUGUACCUGAAGAAAAAGCAUCGGCUAACUCCGUGCCAGCAGCCGCGGUAAUACGGAGGAUGCGAGCGUUAUCCGGAUUUAUUGGGUUUAAAGGGUGCGUAGGCGGAUUUUUAAGUCAGCGGUAAAAUGUCCGGGCUCCACCCGGGCCGGCCGUUGAAACUGGGG